This 951-nucleotide long non-coding RNA is filed under the name Chinchilla lanigera (long-tailed chinchilla). Its description in RNAcentral is "lncRNA (ENSCLAG00000025472.1)". Lineage: Eukaryota; Metazoa; Chordata; Mammalia; Rodentia; Chinchillidae. The record is from RNAcentral.
GUUUUUCACUCUCUUCUGCUGCAUGUAUGAAGAAGUGGACAGACUUGGGAAGCACUGCCUCCUCCAAAAAUGUCUGCAGGAGCAUAAAUCCUCAUGUCUGAGAAAAAUCCUGGGAAAAUCCCCUGGUUUUGCAUGCUAGGCCAGCUAUUCAUCAAAAAGUGGAGGUAAAGGAACUCCUAGCCCAGGGAGAAGGACUGUGAGUGCUGUGUCCCUCUACCCAGCACAAAACAUACAGAACCUAUACAGCCAUGGAGCUGUGGGAGCUGACAAAACAAUUAAAGCAGAAGAUGGGUGAAACAAUGCCUGUGUGGCUGCUGUGGCUAUAGGACAAUGAGGCUGAUAACACACAGUUAAGCCCACAGGAGAUGUUCCAAAUAGCCAACAUAGCCAGCACUCCCUCUAUGAGACAGGUUCUACAAGAUGUACAGAGAAUGGCCCCAGAGGUAGGCAAUCGGAUGUGAUAAAUGGUUUGCUUGCAGCUGCUCGCCUGGUUUGGGAAAAUUCAGAUGACCUGCUGGAGCAAGUCACCAUCUAGACUUGAUCACUGUGCUACAUGAAAUGGGCAUUUGACAGAUGAUGUCUGCAUUGCAGUACCAUAGGCCGGAUGAACUAAGGAUGGUGUGCAUGAAGGGCAUGAUCUUGGCAAGCAGGCCAGCUGGCACUUCCGGGUCAGUGGCAGCCUUUCUAAUGCUCUUUACAGAUCACCUGAUCCAUGAUGCUGUUGAUGCCUUGGCUAGGCUGGGAGAUGUGGAAGUGAAGCACCACUAUAAGAUUUGAAAUCUUCCAUACAGUCUGAAGGAAGCUUUGCUGGCAUUGGAGUGGGCCAUGGACAAAAACAAGGUCCAGGGACCCGAACUGUUUGUCAAAUUCUUAGGUGUUAUGUGAUAGAGAAUGUUAUGGUUGAUACAUUGUGUCAACUUGGGGAGUCUAGAGGUUUGGCUAAGUGACUCA